This is a long non-coding RNA of Pezoporus occidentalis (night parrot), 2042 nucleotides long. RefSeq lists it as uncharacterized. The record is from RefSeq and is a predicted model, not a curated record. The transcript has 3 exons. Lineage: Eukaryota; Metazoa; Chordata; Aves; Psittaciformes; Psittacidae.
CCUCUGGAAAGGGGGACAGACGGCUCCUCGCCCGACGGCCAACGGGACACGUCAGCCCCCCCGACCAGUGCCGGGAAGAGCUGCGGCGUGGCCGUCCCUCGCUAGGCAGGGCCGCACCUCCUCCGACCUCGCGGGGGCCGGGAAGAAAGCAAGCCACUGAAACAAUGCUAUCUACAUUAACAGGAUCAUGUCAAAGGAAAAAAAAACAAAAACAACUUCAAACAGGAUGUACAAAAGAGAAUUCCCUUUCUCAGGCACUGAAUCAGUGACUUGAGACAAGAGAAAUGGGCAGCCAUUGAAUUGCUAAGAUUAGUAACAGGACCUCCUCAGCUCUCUCUAGGCAAAACAAGAUUUUCAGUGGUUUAAAGAAUGCAGAUCAUGAUCACCGCUAUUCACAUCUGUGUCCAGUUCUGAAAGAAGAAAUAGAGGACACAGUACUCCCAACAGGAGCAUUGUCAACAGUUUAUUAACUCACAGAUGACACUUCUGUUCCUACCUAUCUGUGUAUGCGCUGUUUCCUCAGAAGCAAUAUGUUGUUUAUUUAUGAUACACCUUUAUCUGUAAGCCAAACAUCAUGGACCAUGCCAACUCUUCUCUUUCCUGGUUGUUCAAUUAUUUCUGCUAAAGACUACAACCUUGCAGGUUCCCUAUUGAGGCACUGUUUUUCUAAUUUUUCAACAUGUCUUUGGAUCUUAAUCUGGAUUUCUGAUGUGCUUGUGAUCCCUCAUAGCUUCAUGUCAUUUGGAAAUCCAAGGCAUCUUUUAUCAGAUUGUUGACUGCUAUCAGGCAAGACAGAUCUUUCCAGCUCCACUGAAGACACUGUACGCUGGACUGCAGGAAAAGGAGCGUGUCCAACCGGUCAAGGGAGGUGAUUCUUGCCCUCUACCCUGUUCACGUGAGUCCCCAGCUGCAGUACUGCAUCCAGCUCUGAAGUCCCCAACAGAAGAAGGAGGUGGACAUGUUGCAGCAAGGCCAGAGGAGGGGCAUGAAGAUUGAGCACCUCUCUUAGGAAGACAGGCUGAAGGAGUUGGGUUGUUCAGCUGGAGAAGGUCCCAGGGAGACCUUAGAGCAGCCUUACAGUACCUAAUGGGACUACAGGAAAUCUGGAGUGGGACUUUUUAUGAGGUCAUAUAGGACAAGGGGGAAUGACUUCAAGCUGAAAGAGGGUAGAUUUACACUAGAUAUUAGGAAAAAAAUUCUUCACUGUGGUGGUGCUGAGGCACCGGAACAGGCUGCCUGGAGAAACUGUGGAUGCCCCAUCCCUGGAAGUGUUCAAGGCCGGGUUGGAUGGAGCUCUGAGUAACCUGUUGUAAUGGAAGUUUGGGCAGGGUUGUUGGAACUGAAUGAUCUUUGAGGUCCCUUGCAACCCAAACCCAUGUAUGAUUCUAUGGUUAUUCCUUCCUAACAGUGAGCUAUUGCUAAUUGCUUUUUGACUGCACAUUGGCACUGUUUUCCAUGACAAUGCUCCUCAUACAAGAUUUAAUUCCUAAUGAGAAACAAAUUCUAUGUAGAGUUAGUAGUUGCAGAAAUACUCUUCCAAAGCAAAGGACAAUAAAGCAUUCUUGAGUUAAACUGCACUGGGCUGAACAAUUUCUGGUGUUCUUUUUAGCACAGCCAGAAUGACAAAAGAUUUUCAGCAGUAUUCAUGAAGUUCCUCUGGGAAUAAUUUUGGUCAUCCCACAGCUGUAGAGAAGUCAUUGAAACUGUAUAGCCAUGCUAGUGUUGGACUGUGUUAAUAUUCUUUGCUUCUUAAUGGCAUCUUAGCUUGGAGUCAAGCUAGGAUUCCUUGCUGCCAGCCUGAACUGUCUCAUGAAAUGUUGGAGGGAGGGACGGCAUAAUUGCAUUUAUUCUGUAGGUGCACACUAAGUGUCCUAUGUAAAUAUGGUUUGAGCUUUCUGUAGAGAUUUCCAUCAUGCCUGUAGUAGGUCACUGGAAAACACAAGGCCUGAGCUUUUAUUGAAUUGCAGUGUAUUGUAGACAAACUUGUGUGGUUCCAGCAACAGUCUCUUCUCCAGGCAUAUCUCUUUGAUCAAGUAAUAAUG